CCAAUAGCGUAUAUUAAAGUUGUUGUGGUUAAAAAGCUCGUAGUUGAACCUUGGGCCUGGCUGGCCGGUCCGCCUCACCGCGUGUACUGGUCCGGCCGGGCCUUUCCCUCUGUGGAACCUCAUGCCCUUCACUGGGUGUGACGGGGAAGCAGGACUUUUACUGUGAAAAAAUUAGAGUGCUCCAAGCAGGCCUAUGCUCGAAUACAUUAGCAUGGAAUAAUAAAAUAGGACGUGCGGUUCUAUUUUGUUGGUUUCUAGGACCGCCGUAAUGAUUAAUAGGGACAGUCGGGGGCAUCAGUAUUCAAUUGUCAGAGGUGAAAUUCUUGUAUUUAUUGAAGACUAACUACUGCGAAAGCAUUUGCCAAGGAUGUUUUCAUUAAUCAAGAACGAAAGUUAGGGGAUCGAAGACGAUCAGAUACCGUCGUAGUCUUAACCAUAAACUAUGCCGACUAGGGAUCGGAUGAUGUUAAUUUUUUAAUGACUCAUUCGGCGCCUUACG
This 499-nucleotide unclassified non-coding RNA is filed under the name uncultured Paraglomus. RNAcentral describes it as "SSU rRNA". It matches the Rfam family "Eukaryotic small subunit ribosomal RNA", at positions 591 to 1092 of the family's 1831-position model. The record is from RNAcentral. Lineage: Eukaryota; Fungi; Glomeromycota; Glomeromycetes; Paraglomerales; Paraglomeraceae.